GCUCAGCUUUGAAAUCUGGCUCUCCGGCCCGAGUUGUAAUUUGUAUAGGAUACUUUUCCUCCGCUGCCUUCCGAGUUCCCUGGAACGGGACGCCAUAGAGGGUGAGAGCCCCGUCUGGUUGGAUGCCAAAUCUCUGUAAAGUUCCUUCAACGAGUCGAGUAGUUUGGGAAUGCUGCUCUAAAUGGGAGGUAUAUGUCUUCUAAAGCUAAAUACCGGCCAGAGACCGAUAGCGCACAAGUAGAGUGAUCGAAAGAUGAAAAGCACUUUGAAAAGAGAGUUAAAAAGUACGUGAAAUUGUUGAAAGGGAAGCGUUUAUGACCAGACUUGGGCUUGGUUAAUCAUCUGGGGUUCUCCCCAGUGCACUUUUCCAGUCCAGGCCAGCAUCAGUUUUCCCCGGGGGAUAAAGGCGGCGGGAAUGUGGCUCUCUUCGGGGAGUGUUAUAGCCCACCGUGUAAUACCCUGGGGGGGACUGAGGUUCGCGCAUCUGCAAGGAUGCUGGCGUAAUGGUCAUCAACGACCCGUCUUGAACCAAGGGGACCCACA
RNAcentral lists this ribosomal RNA (543 nucleotides) under Fusarium oxysporum f. sp. ciceris. RNAcentral describes it as "eukaryotic LSU rRNA". It matches the Rfam family "Eukaryotic large subunit ribosomal RNA", at positions 107 to 664 of the family's 3401-position model. Lineage: Eukaryota; Fungi; Ascomycota; Sordariomycetes; Hypocreales; Nectriaceae. The record is from RNAcentral.